UACGGGGGGGGCAAGCGUUGUUCGGAAUUACUGGGCGUAAAGGGCUCGUAGGCGGCCAACUAAGUCAGACGUGAAAUCCCCAGGCUCAACCUGGGAACUGCGUCUGAUACUGGAUGGCUUGAAUCCGGGAGAGGGAUGCAGAAUUCCAGGUGUAGCGGUGAAAUGCGUAGAUAUCUGGAGGAAUACCGGUGGCGAAGGCGGCUCACUGGACCGGUACUGACGCUGAGGCGCGAAAGCGUGGGGAGCAAACGGG
Molecule: ribosomal RNA, 253 nt
Filed under: uncultured bacterium
Lineage: Bacteria
Description: partial 16S ribosomal RNA
Rfam family: Bacterial small subunit ribosomal RNA
Source: RNAcentral